RNAcentral lists this ribosomal RNA (492 nucleotides) under uncultured bacterium. RNAcentral's name for it is "partial 16S ribosomal RNA". It matches the Rfam family "Bacterial small subunit ribosomal RNA", at positions 29 to 507 of the family's 1533-position model. The record is from RNAcentral.
AGUGAACGCUGGCGGUAGGCCUAACACAUGCAAGUCGAACGGCAGCACAGUAAGAGCUUGCUCUUACGGGUGGCGAGUGGCGGACGGGUGAGGAAUACAUCGGAAUCUACUUUUUUGUGGGGGAUAACGUAGGGAAACUUACGCUAAUACCGCAUACGACCUACGGGUGAAAGCAGGGGAUCUUCGGACCUUGCGCGAUUGAAUGAGCCGAUGUCGGAUUAGCUAGUUGGCGGGGUAAAGGCCCACCAAGGCGACGAUCCGUAGCUGGUCUGAGAGGAUGAUCAGCCACACUGGAACUGAGACACGGUCCAGACUCCUACGGGAGGCAGCAGUGGGGAAUAUUGGACAAUGGGCGCAAGCCUGAUCCAGCCAUACCGCGUGGGUGAAGAAGGCCUUCGGGUUGUAAAGCCCUUUUGUUGGGGAAGAAAAGCAGCAGGUUAAUACCCCGCUGUUCUGACGGUACCCAAAGAAUAAGCACCGGCUAACUUCGUG